RNAcentral lists this ribosomal RNA (253 nucleotides) under uncultured bacterium. RNAcentral's name for it is "partial 16S ribosomal RNA". It matches the Rfam family "Bacterial small subunit ribosomal RNA", at positions 524 to 776 of the family's 1533-position model. The record is from RNAcentral.
UACGUAGGGUGCGAGCGUUAAUCGGUAUUACUGGGCGUAAAGCGUGCGCAGGCGGUUCGUUGUGUCGGCGGUGAAAGCCCCGGGCUUAACCUGGGAAUGGCCGUUGAAACUGGCGAACUGGAGUGUGGCAGAGGAGGAUGGAAUUCCGCGUGUAGCAGUGAAAUGCGUAGAUAUGCGGAGGAACACCGAUGGCGAAGGCAAUCCCCUGGGCCUGCACUGACGCUCAUGCACGAAAGCGUGGGGAGCAAACAGG